GAUGAACGCUGGCGGCGUGCCUAAUACAUGCAAGUCGAGCGAACGGACGAGAAGCUUGCUUCUCUGAUGUUAGCGGCGGACGGGUGAGUAACACGUGGAUAACCUACCUAUAAGACUGGGAUAACUUCGGGUAACCGGAGCUAAUACCGGAUGAUAUUUUGAACCGCAUGGUUCAAAAGUGAAAGACGGUCUUGCUGUCACUUAUAGAUGGAUCCGCGCUGCAUUAGCUAGUUGGUAAGGUAAUGGCUUACCAAGGCAACGAUGCAUAGCCGACCUGAGAGGGUGAUCGGCCACACUGGAACUGAGACACGGUCCAGACUCCUACGGGAGGCAGCAGUAGGGAAUCUUCCGCAAUGGGCGAAAGCCUGACGGAGCAACGCCGCGUGAGUGAUGAAGGUCUUCGGAUCGUAAAACUCUGUUAUUAGGGAAGAACAUAUGUGUAAGUAACUGUGCACAUCUUGACGGUACCUAAUCAGAAAGCCACUGCUAACUACGUG
Molecule: ribosomal RNA, 497 nt
Filed under: uncultured bacterium
Lineage: Bacteria
Description: partial 16S ribosomal RNA
Rfam family: Bacterial small subunit ribosomal RNA
Source: RNAcentral